AUGGAGGACCGAACCAGGAAACGUUGAAAAGUUUUUGGAUGAACUGUGGGUAGGGGUGAAAGGCCAAUCAAACUGGGAAAUAGCUCGUACUCCCCGAAAUGCAUUUAGGUGCAGCGUCGGUUAUGAGUCUUAUAGAGGUAGAGCUACUGAUUGGAUGCGAGGGCUUCACCGCCUAUCAAAUCCAGACAAACUCCGAAUGCUAUAAGAUGCUUACCGGCAGUGAGGGCAUGGGUGCUAAGGUCCAUGUCCGAGAGGGAAAGAACCCAGACCAUCAGCUAAGGUCCCCAAGUGUAUAUUAAGUUGAACAAACGAGGUCCGAUUGCAUAGACAGCUAGGAUGUUGGCUUGGAAGCAGCCAUUCAUUUAAAGAGUGCGUAACAGCUCACUAGUCGAGCGAUUGGGCGUGGAUAAUAAUCGGGCAUUAAAUAUACCACCGAAGCUAUGGAUUUAUGGUAGGGGAGCAUUCCAGUCUGCGCUGAAGCGGAUUCGUGAGGGUCCGUGGAGCGUCUGGAAAAGCAAAUGUAGGCAUAAGUAACGAUAAAGCAGGUGAGAAACCUGCUCGCCGAUAGACUAAGGUUUCCUGAUCAACGCUAAUCGGAUCAGGGUUAGUCGGGGCCUAAGGCGUACCCGAAGGGGGAAGUCGAUGGACAAUUGGUUAAUAUUCCAAUACCCUUUGAUACUGCGAUGGGGUGACGAAGUAAUGAAAGGACCGCGUACUGACGGAAUAGUACGUUAAAAGAUGUAGGUUAUGAGAGGCAUAGGCAAAUCCGUGCUUUGAGCUGAACUCUGACAGUACCGUGAGCCUUCGGGCAAACGGAUAGUGUCCCUAAGCGCUUCCAAGAAAAACCUCUAAGCUUCAGGUAUCAAAGGCCCGUACCGCAAACCGACACAGGUAGUCAAGGAGAGAAUCCUGAGGCGCUCGAGUGAUUCAUGGCUAAGGAACUAGGCAAAAUCGCCCCGUAACUUCGGGAGAAGGGGCGCUCUACUCCGGUAGAGCCGCAGUGAAAAGGCGCAUGCGACUGUUUAUCAAAAACACAUGGCUAUGCUAAAUUGAAAGAUGAUGUAUAUGGCCUGACACCUGCCCGGUGCCGGAAGGUUAAGAGGGGAUGUUAUCUUCGGAGAAGCAUUGAAUCGAAGCCCCGGUAAACGGCGGCCGUAACUAUAACGGUCCUAAGGUAGCGAAAUUCCUUGUCGGGUAAGUUCCGACCUGCACGAAUGGUGUAACGAUGUGCGCACUGUCUCGGCCAUGAGCUCGGUGAAAUUGUAGUCUCGGUGAAGAUGCCGAGUACCCGCAACGGGACGGAAAGACCCCGUGAACCUUUACUGCAACUUCACAUUGAUUCUGGGUAAGUGAUGUGUAGGAUAGGACGGAGACUAUGAAGCGGGUUCGCCAGGAUUCGUGGAGUCAUCCUUGAAAUACGUCCCUUUGCUUACUUGGAACCUAACUCCUCCGGGAGGACAGUGUGUGGUGGGUAGUUUGACUGGGGUGGUCGCCUCCAAAAGAGUAACGGAGGCUUCUAAAGGUGC
Molecule: ribosomal RNA, 1526 nt
Filed under: microbial mat metagenome
Description: bacterial LSU rRNA
Rfam family: Bacterial large subunit ribosomal RNA
Source: RNAcentral